This is a long non-coding RNA of Vespula vulgaris, 460 nucleotides long. RefSeq lists it as uncharacterized. The record is from RefSeq and is a predicted model, not a curated record. The transcript is spliced from 4 exons. NCBI's taxonomy places the organism in Eukaryota, Metazoa, Arthropoda, Insecta, Hymenoptera, Vespidae.
UGAGUGCUACAGGUGGCAGCGGACUGCGUCGUCUUAUUAAUUACAGGACUUGUGAGCAACGUGUUUAAACCUGUUCGAGCUCUGGACUUUCUAGGUUAAUUAGUUCUUAUUCAUCAUAUUCAACUAAUAUGCGGACGUGGGCACCUUCAAGAGCAACUAUCACAUACUUCCUGCUGUUCUUCCUAUACAGUGUAAAGUAAUGGAUCUCUAUCGCAGCAACUUCCUAGUGGUGAAAUCCGGUAAUCGGUAUUGCGUACGUUAAUGUAUUUUACAUUAUAAAACGUACGCACUGCCGAGUCAGUUGCUGACGUUCGGUGCAUUAGAGAAAUUUUAAUAUAAUAUUUUAAUUUGUUAAUAUAUAGUAAUUUAAGAUUAAUUAAUUAAGAGUUUAAAGAAUAUAAUGAAUAUUAAUUUAUGAAUAUAGAGAACAAUAAAAAAUGUACAAUAAAAAUGAACAAUA